AUAUACAAAAAAAUAUGGCUAAUCGAUGUUAAAGUCUUGUUUGGCACGAUAAUGACCAAGAGAACAACUUGCGCUAGCUUGAACUGCUGCCAGCUGGACCUCACCUAUUCUACAUUGGGAACCUGUUACCAAAAAUUAAAAUUCCAACUUAAGCUUUCGCUUCACGUUGGAUGUGAAGCGAAGUCUCACAUCGCUUGGGUACCAAAGUAAUAUGAAGAAUAUAAGCGUGCGAGCACCGUCACAUUAAUAGCUUGCUUUUGGUUGAGUUCUACCCAAGAUCAUUUAAUAUCAACAACUAUCUAUUAAUGUUCUCAGAAAUUAAAAAAGCGUUUGUGUGAGGCAAUUAAGCCUCUUAAGCUUUGGAAUAAGGGUACCAUUUUAAGACCCUUGAGGCAAUUAGUACGAGUUGAAAGAACAUACCCC
Rhododendron vialii is the source of this 423-nucleotide long non-coding RNA. RefSeq lists it as uncharacterized. The transcript is spliced from 2 exons. The record is from RefSeq and is a predicted model, not a curated record. Lineage: Eukaryota; Viridiplantae; Streptophyta; Magnoliopsida; Ericales; Ericaceae.